RNAcentral lists this ribosomal RNA (433 nucleotides) under uncultured bacterium. Its description in RNAcentral is "partial 16S ribosomal RNA". It matches the Rfam family "Bacterial small subunit ribosomal RNA", at positions 29 to 507 of the family's 1533-position model. The record is from RNAcentral.
AACGAACGCUGGCGGCAUGCCUAACACAUGCAAGUCGAACGAGACCUUCGGGUCUAGUGGCGCACGGGUGCGUAACGCGUGGGAACCUGCCCUUAGGUUCGGAAUAACUCCCCGAAAGGGGUGCUAAUACCGGAUAAUGUCUUCGGACCAAAGAUUUAUCGCCUUUGGAUGGGCCCGCGUUGGAUUAGCUAGUUGGUAGGGUAAAAGCCUACCAAGGCGACGAUCCAUAGCUGGUCUGAGAGGAUGAUCAGCCACACUGGGACUGAGACACGGCCCAGACUCCUACGGGAGGAAGCAGUGGGGAAUAUUGGAAAAUGGGCGAAAGCCUGAUCCAGCAAUGCCGCGUGAGUGAUGAAGGCCUUAGGGUUGUAAAGCUCGUUUACCCGGGAUGAUAAUGACAGUACCGGGAGAAUAAGCGCCGGCUAACUCCGUG